UACGUAGGGUGCAAGCGUUGUCCGGAAUUAUUGGGCGUAAAGAGCUCGUAGGCGGUUUGUUGCGUCGGCUGUGAAAACCCGGGGCUCAACCCCGGGCCUGCAGCCGAUACGGGCAGACUAGAGUUCGGCAGGGGAGACUGGAAUUCCUGGUGUAGCGGUGAAAUGCGCAGAUAUCAGGAGGAACACCGGUGGCGAAGGCGGGUCUCUGGGCCGAUACUGACGCUGAGGAGCGAAAGCGUGGGGAGCAAACCGG
Molecule: ribosomal RNA, 253 nt
Filed under: uncultured bacterium
Lineage: Bacteria
Description: partial 16S ribosomal RNA
Rfam family: Bacterial small subunit ribosomal RNA
Source: RNAcentral